Molecule: ribosomal RNA, 254 nt
Filed under: uncultured bacterium
Lineage: Bacteria
Description: partial 16S ribosomal RNA
Rfam family: Bacterial small subunit ribosomal RNA
Source: RNAcentral
UACGGGGGGAGCAAGCGUUGUUCGGAUUUACUGGGCGUAAAGGGCGCGUAGGCGGCCACCGCAAGUCGACUGUGAAAUCUCCGGGCUUAACCCGGAAAGGUCAGCCGAUACUGCGGGGCUAGAGUGCAGAAGGGGCAACUGGAAUUCUCGGUGUAGCGGUGAAAUGCGUAGAUAUCGGGAGGAACACCAGUGGCGAAAGCGGCUACCUGGCCCAUUCUUGACGCUGAGGCGCGAAAGCUAGGGGAGCAAACGGG